CGGACGGCUCAGUAACACGUGGCUAACCUACCCUCGGGUGGGGGAUAACCUCGGGAAACUGAGGAUAAUACCCCAUAGGAGAAGAGGUCUGGAAUGAUCCUUCUCUGAAAACAUAUGUGCCCGAGGAUGGGGCUGCGUCUGAUUAGGUAGUUGGUGGGGUAACGGCCCACCAAGCCUACGAUCAGUACGGGCCUUGAGAGAGGCAGCCCGGAGAUGGGGACUGAGACACGGCCCCAGGCCCUACGGGGCGCAGCAGGCGCGAAACCUCCGCAAUGCACGAAAGUGCGACGGGGGGACCCCAAGUGCUUACGCACUGCGUAGGCUUUUCUAAAGUGUAAAAAGCUUUAGGAAUAAGGGC
Molecule: ribosomal RNA, 358 nt
Filed under: uncultured archaeon
Lineage: Archaea
Description: bacterial SSU rRNA
Rfam family: Archaeal small subunit ribosomal RNA
Source: RNAcentral